RNAcentral lists this ribosomal RNA (500 nucleotides) under uncultured Actinomycetes bacterium. RNAcentral describes it as "bacterial SSU rRNA". It matches the Rfam family "Bacterial small subunit ribosomal RNA", at positions 8 to 522 of the family's 1533-position model. Lineage: Bacteria; Bacillati; Actinomycetota; Actinomycetes. The record is from RNAcentral.
AGAGUUUGAUCAUGGCUCAGGACGAACGCUGGCGGCGUGCUUAACACAUGCAAGUCGAGCGGUAAGGCUCCUUCGGGAGUACACGAGCGGCGAACGGGUGAGUAACACGUGAGCAAUCUGCCCUUCACAUUGGGAUAACCCUCGGAAACGAGAGCUAAUACCGGAUACGACCACUGGCGGCAUCGCCUGGUGGUAGAAAGCUCCGGCGGUGGAGGAUGAGCUCGCGGCCUAUCAGCUUGUUGGUGGGGUAACGGCCCACCAAGGCGACGACGGGUAGCCGGCCUGAGAGGGUGACCGGCCACACUGGGACUGAGACACGGCCCAGACUCCUACGGGAGGCAGCAGUGGGGAAUAUUGGACAAUGGGCGAAAGCCUGAUCCAGCAACGCCGCGUGAGGGAUGACGGCCUUCGGGUUGUAAACCUCUUUCAGCAGGGACGAAGCGAAAGUGACGGUACCUGCAGAAGAAGCACCGGCCAACUACGUGCCAGCAGCCGCGGUA